Molecule: non-coding RNA, 192 nt
Organism: Agrilus planipennis (emerald ash borer)
Lineage: Eukaryota; Metazoa; Arthropoda; Insecta; Coleoptera; Buprestidae
Source: Rfam
ACUCAUACUCAUACUUAGAUUGCAGUGUUAGCAUUUAUCCACCGGCUGAAGAGGACCCUAGUUGGUCCUAAAACGGCCUGAGGUAGAGGGGUUUUAGUCGGUAGGUCCGAGGACUUCUUCCUCGGGAAUCCGACACUACCCAGUCGUACGGACGGCUGGGUGUCUUCUGAAGAUUUCCCCUCUUCCACGAAA